This is a long non-coding RNA of Bufo bufo (common toad), 2427 nucleotides long. RefSeq lists it as uncharacterized. NCBI's taxonomy places the organism in Eukaryota, Metazoa, Chordata, Amphibia, Anura, Bufonidae. The transcript is spliced from 2 exons. The record is from RefSeq and is a predicted model, not a curated record.
UUCUAUUAGGGGCCAGCUGUUCCGUUUCAGAAAAUACGGAAUGCACACGGACAUCAUCCGUAUUCUUUGCGGACCAGAAAAUACAUAUGGUCGUGUGCAUGAGCCCUUAAAGGGGCAUUCCGGUUAGAUUAGGUUAUCACCCAUUUACAGGAUAAGGGAUAACUAUUAUAUCGGUGAGGGUCCUACCGCUGAGACCCCCACUGAUCACGAGAACGGGGGUCCUGUAUCACCUGCAGCCCCACUGAAAUGAAUGGAACGGCCAGUUGCACAUGCGUGUGCCCGCUUCAUUAAUUUCUAUGGGAGUUGCAGAGAGAGAGUACAGCGCUCAGCUAUCUCCAGAAUUUCCAUAGAAAUGAAUGUCAUGUGCUCCACCUGCUCCAUUCAUUUCAGGGGGCUACGGGGCCCCCGUUCUUAUGAUUGGUGGGCGUCCCAGCAUUAGGACCCCAUAUCCUGUAGAUAGGGGAUAACUUAAUCUAACCGGAAUACCCCUUUAAGACUAGUUUCACACUAGUGUUAAAAUUAUCUGGCAGAGGAACAGCCUGCCGGAGUUCAUCGCAUCUGGCAUAGCCGGAAAGGGCCAGAGCCGGGCAAGACCCCAUUGACUAUAAGGGGACCAAGCCUGUUUCCUGCACUCAUGCUGGGAUUCAGCAGGACAAAAAUCGGUGCUUGCAAAAAUACUGUUUUAGUCUGGCGAAUGUCAGCACGAGUGCCGGAAAUAGGUUGGGUCCCCUUAUAGUCAAUGGGCUCCGACGGGCUAGAGAGUUUUAACACUAGUGUGAAACCAGCCAUAGGCCUCAUACACACAACCAUGAUCUUAUUGUGGUACGCAAACCAUGAAUCCACACAAUACCGAUACCGUCCGCUCUGCAUUUUACUCACUCCCAUUAAUAUAAAUGACUAUUCCCUUCUGCAAUACAUACCAGACUAGGACAUGUUCUAUAAUUUGGACGGAUCCACAAACAAUACGGAUGUGUGCACGCCCCAUAGAAAUGAAUGUUCAAAAAGCGCAUAGUAUGGGGGAUGUGCACGAAAAACAUGGCCGCCCUCUUCCAGAAACUGCUCCCACACCUAUUCAUGAGCUGUGUAUCGUAGCUCAACUCUGUUGUAGUGAAUGGGGUUGAGGUGCAAUAUGGCACCAAACCUGGACAACCCCAUAAUCACAAAGCACCAAAGCUCUGUAGAGACUGGGCGACACGUAUUUCAAGCCAUUCACACAGUGACAUGACGGUAUUGAAGUACAUAAUGUACUUAUACAAUAGUCAUGGGGCUAGAGAUGGACAAUGUCAUUCUAUAUAGAAACCCUGAUCUCUAGACGCAUCAGUUCUAUAAAAUAUACAAGAUAGAAGCACAAUAUAAAAUAUGUCUCCCCCCCCUAUUAUGCUAUCAUUUGGAAUAUAAUUUUUUAAUAACAUUUUUUAUUUUUUACACAAUGAUAGAGUCUUAAAAAUCUAGCGACUCCUUUAAUAUAGUAUAGUAAAGUUCUCUUCCGUGCAAAUGUAGGUAAAAUGUCUAAUGUGAUGGCCAGGCCUGGAACAGGAGAAGUCACUAGGCCUCACUGAUCAGAACAGGCCUUGUUGCCCAUAGCAACCAAUCAGAAUGCAGCUUUCAUAUUUUCACAGCAGUGUAAGAAUUGUAAGAUGGGCUCUGAUUGGUUGCUAUGGGCUACAGGGCCUGUUCUGUCAGACCUUCACGAUUACCCACUUUCUAUAUGACGUCUUGUUUUACUGAAUGAUCUGCCAGAGAUUGUGUGAAAUGUCUAUAUGGUUUUAGAGCAUUCACCCCAAAUAAAUAAUUAAAUUGUCCUCUUCGCCCAAGCUCUUAUAAACCCUAUUCUGCCUGUUCCUUAGUAGUGUGUCUUUAGAAAAGCCUGGUGACAAACAAUAUGGCUGUCUUUACUGUUCCACAAUCUAUACCUAGUGCCACCAAGGCACCUACCUAGCGUUUGCCAUUACAGCUAUCAGAGGGAUUGUCUUUGGGCUCAUGAACACAAAGUAUUAUGGCUGUAUUUUAAGUGGGUGUUCCCGGGUGCUCUUGGGACUUAAAAGGGUUGCCCACUCCUAUACUACGGAUGGCCCAUUCUCAGGACCGGCCAUUGAGAUCUGAUCUGUGAGGGUCCGACACCAUAAUCCUUGACGAUGAGCUGUUCUGCACUAGUCCCGGAACUACACCGCUCUGCCCACUACACAAUGGAUGGUGCCGUUUAGUUUCAAGCCCUGAAACAGUAGUUUGAUGGGGGUCCAGGGUGUCAGACCAUCCCCCCAACCAUAGAUCACAUAUGGAUGAUGACAGCCCAUAGAUCGUAUAGAAGUGGACGACCCUUUAAAGGGCAUCUGUCAGCAAAUUUGUACUUCUGAAACUGUCUGACUUGUUACAUGUGCGCUUGGCAGCUCUGAGCAUCCGUGCUGGUCCCAUGUUCAUAUGUGCCCA